GCCGGUGUAACUCAGCCUGGUAGCUGCCAAUGUUCAUUGGCUUGCUGGGCAAUUAGAGUGAUGCUCUCAUAAGGCAUAAGUCGGGAGUUCAAAUUGUGGCGCGCGAGCAUGCGCCCGCAUGCAAGUCUCCCCACCGGCA
RNAcentral lists this transfer RNA (139 nucleotides) under Candidatus Woesearchaeota archaeon. RNAcentral's name for it is "tRNA-Met". Lineage: Archaea; Nanobdellati; Candidatus Woesearchaeota. The record is from RNAcentral.